AUAUAUGGAUAUAUAUAUAUUGUCUGUUUUGAAGUGGAACACUGUUGAACACAAAAUAUUCUAGAAAUAAAGUUAUUUCUAUAGCAUUUCUUAAGAAGUAAAGAUGCUCAGUGUUACUAUUUACACUAUCAUAACUUGAAACUUAACUCUAGAUUUUAGUAGUAUUUCCUUUGGCAAUUAUUAUUAUUAAGGUAGUGAGCUGGCAGAGUUGUUAGCACAUCACAUGAAAUGCUUAGCAGUAUUUCAUCUGCCUUUAACAUUCUAAGUUCAAAUUCCACUGAGGUCGACUUUGCCUUUUCAUCCUUUUGGGGUAUGUAAAAUAAGUACCAGUUGAGUACUGGGGUCGAUGUAAUUGACUAUCCUCCUUCCCCAAAUUUCAGGCCUUGUAUCUAUAGUAGAAAGGAUUAUUAUUAUUAUUACUUCAAGUUACCUAAUUCUCAAUAGUUAUCACUGCUACUUUUAUUUGAGUAGUUUGCAGUAUAAAAAGUAUUUGAUUAUUAAAAAAUAUUGCUCUGUAAGUAUGUAAAUAUCUAAAAUCAUUUAAAGCUAUCAUUAGACAUACUAACUUGGCAAAAAAUGGGAAAUGUUCAAAUAAAAAUAGAAAAACAAGAUUUUUUUCUAAAAGAGUUUCUUCACAAUAAAUUUGUUAAAUUAGAAAGCUUGUCUGUUUGUUUGAUUAGUUCUUGUUUUCUAUUUUUCAAAACAAAAGUCGUUCGCGUUUAUUUGAAUAUAAUUUAAAUUUCAACAAGUUAAUGCUCCCUAGUUACUUUUUUCAAACUAUGUAGAAUCAAUGAAAUAGUCUUGCUCUUUAAAGCAAUUUGCUGUAGUUUUAGAUUGUUCCUUUGUUUCUGAUUUAUAGUAAGAUGCUCCUCUCUCCUCAACCCACAUUCAUAUCAAAUUGGUCCAAUUCCAAAUAAAAGUCAAGAAAAAAUUAGCAACCUAAUUAAUACAAUUUAUUCAAAUUCUUAAGUUUUAUAAUUGCUUUUAUUUAUUUUACUUAAUAAUUUUUGAUAGUUAACUUUACUAUAAUCACUUUUACAAUAAUAAAAUAUAAGUAUAUAAAUUUACUUACUUUAGACAUGAUGGAACUAUUUAAAUAAUCUUAAAUAUAUUCUGGUAUGUAUGUAAAAAUUAACUUUAUUAUGUGCACAUAAUAUUAAUAGAUAAUAAUAUUUUCUUAAUUUAACUGUUAUGUUUUUGCUUUAAACUUCUUUUUCCAAACCAAGAUUUAAUGUUUUUUUUUUAACAGUUAAGUUUUUAUUUCAAAAAUGCUUAUUUAGUAAAAAUGUUUUAAAUGUGUUUUCUUGUUAAGUUUUCUUUCUUUUGUUUUUAAUUUCUUCAUAGUGUAAUUUAAAGAGUUUUUCUUCUGAACCAAUAUAUUUUUUUCCUACGAGAUGCUUUAAUUAUAUACUUUAUUUGGAAUUUGCCUUUAGCAUCACAUCUAUUAAAAGAAAAAAAAAAGUAAUGAGGAGAGAACAGAAAAAACCUUGAAUAGAUUUGAUUGAUGAUGCAAGUUUUUAGUUAUUUAACAAAGCAAAAAAAAAAAAAAAGGAAGAAACCUAGAAAAAUAUCUUCACAAAAUUUUUAAAGAAAAAUUUUAACUGCAAGUUGAAUAAUCUAAAAAUAAAUUAUAAUGAUAAGAUUUAUAUAUUAUAUAUUUCUGUACUUAUAUGUAUAUAUAUAUAUAAUUUAGUAACAUUUAUCUUGGUUAAAUUCUUAAAGUUAUAUUUACAUUUAUUUUCAUGUAAAUUUUUUUUCUUCCGAUUUUAUAAUAAUAAUAAUUGUUAUCAAUAAAGAUUUCUUAGCAUGCUGAAAUAUAUCUU
This 1823-nucleotide long non-coding RNA is filed under the name Octopus vulgaris (common octopus). The record is from RNAcentral. Lineage: Eukaryota; Metazoa; Mollusca; Cephalopoda; Octopoda; Octopodidae.